GUCCGCAUGGCCUAAUUGGAUAUGGCGUCUGACUUCGGAUGAGAAGAUUGCAGGUUCGAGUCCUGUCGCGGACG
Molecule: transfer RNA, 74 nt
Filed under: Rhipicephalus microplus (southern cattle tick)
Lineage: Eukaryota; Metazoa; Arthropoda; Arachnida; Ixodida; Ixodidae
Description: tRNA-Arg
Rfam family: tRNA
About the family: Transfer RNA (tRNA) molecules are approximately 80 nucleotides in length. Their secondary structure includes four short double-helical elements and three loops (D, anti-codon, and T loops). Further hydrogen bonds mediate the characteristic L-shaped molecular structure. tRNAs have two regions of fundamental functional importance: the anti-codon, which is responsible for specific mRNA codon recognition, and the 3' end, to which the tRNAs corresponding amino acid is attached (by aminoacyl-tRNA synthetases). tRNAs cope with the degeneracy of the genetic code in two manners: having more than one tRNA (with a specific anti-codon) for a particular amino acid; and 'wobble' base-pairing, i.e. permitting non-standard base-pairing at the 3rd anti-codon position.
Source: Rfam by way of RNAcentral